CCGCCAGAACAUUACAAGUGAAAAACUUAAAACUCAAAGGACUUGGCGGUGUCCCACCUCGACCUAGAGGAGCCUGUCCUAUAAUCGAUACCCCCCGCUCAACCUAACCUCCACUAGCACACUUCAGCCUAUAUACCGCCGUCGACAGUCUACCCCAUGAGGGAGAAAUAGUAGACAAAAUAGCAAUUAUAUCGCUAAUACGUCAGGUCAAGGUGUAGCAAAUGUUGAGGAAGUGAUUGGCUACAUUUUUUGCCACANUAUAACCGAAAUACAACAUGAAAUCAUGUACGAAGGUGAAUUUAGUAGUAAAAU
RNAcentral lists this ribosomal RNA (312 nucleotides) under Acanthodactylus bedriagai (Bedriaga's fringe-fingered lizard). RNAcentral's name for it is "partial 12S ribosomal RNA". It matches the Rfam family "Bacterial small subunit ribosomal RNA", at positions 869 to 1344 of the family's 1533-position model. Lineage: Eukaryota; Metazoa; Chordata; Lepidosauria; Squamata; Lacertidae. The record is from RNAcentral.